This 424-nucleotide ribosomal RNA is filed under the name uncultured prokaryote. RNAcentral's name for it is "bacterial SSU rRNA". It matches the Rfam family "Bacterial small subunit ribosomal RNA", at positions 355 to 796 of the family's 1533-position model. The record is from RNAcentral.
UGGGGAAUCUUGCACAAUGGGCGCAAGCCUGAUGCAGCCAUGCUGCGUGAGUGAAGAAGGCCCUAGGGUUGUAAAACUCUUUCAGCGGGGAAGAUAAUGACGGUACCCGCAGAAGAAGCCCCGGCUAACUCCGUGCCAGCAGCCGCGGUAAUACGGAGGGGGCUAGCGUUGUUCGGAAUCACUGGGCGUAAAGCGCACGUAGGCGGAUCAGUCAGUCAGGGGUGAAAGCCCGGGGCUCAACCUCGGAACUGCCCUUGAUACUGCUGAUCUUGAGAUCGAGAGAGGUGAGUGGAAUUCCUAGUGUAGAGGUGAAAUUCGUAGAUAUUAGGAAGAACACCGGUGGCGAAGGCGGCCAUCUGGUCCGGUACUGACGCUGAGGCGCGAAAGCGUGGGGAGCAAACAGGAUUAGAUACCCCUGUAGUCC